This 493-nucleotide ribosomal RNA is filed under the name uncultured bacterium. RNAcentral describes it as "partial 16S ribosomal RNA". It matches the Rfam family "Bacterial small subunit ribosomal RNA", at positions 29 to 506 of the family's 1533-position model. The record is from RNAcentral.
AUGAACGCUGGCGGCGUGCUUAACCCAUGCAAGUCGAACGCAGCACCUCUCCCGAAGAUUGACACAGCUUGCUGUAGAUUGAUUCAUUUGAGGUGACUGAGUGGCGGACGGGUGAGUAACGCGUGGGUAACCUGCCUCAUAGAGGGGGACAACAGUUGGAAACGACUGCUAAUACCGCAUAGUAAGAAGAAUUCGCAUGUUUUCUUCUUGAAAGAUUUAUCGCUAUGAGAUGGACCCGCGUCUGAUUAGCUAGUUGGUAAGGUAACGGCUUACCAAGGCGACGAUCAGUAGCCGGCUUGAGAGAGUGAACGGCCACAUUGGGACUGAGACACGGCCCAAACUCCUACGGGAGGCAGCAGUGGGGAAUAUUGCACAAUGGGGGAAACCCUGAUGCAGCGACGCCGCGUGAGUGAAGAAGUAUUUCGGUAUGUAAAGCUCUAUCAGCAGGGAAGAUAAUGACGGUACCUGACUAAGAAGCCCCGGCUAACUACGU